This is an RNA transcript of Mauremys mutica (yellowpond turtle), 2258 nucleotides long. It is a transcript of the gene named centromere protein F-like, with no coding region annotated. The record is from RefSeq and is a predicted model, not a curated record. Lineage: Eukaryota; Metazoa; Chordata; Testudines; Geoemydidae. The transcript is spliced from 10 exons.
AGUUACUGGCAUAGCUCUGUCACCAUAACCUCUAGAUGUGACUGUUGAGAGCUUUUCUUAUUAUAGUCUAGCUUCUUUACAUGAGUUUGAAAUCCGAUUGAAUUGCAAAUUAUAUUAGUAACUAUGGAAUAUAUGAAGAGUUUGGGGUCUUCUGUCAUUGAAAUAAUCAAAGCCAAGAAUAAGCGUGAAAUGUUGGAGCAAAAAAUGGACGACCUACUGAGUAAUCAGAGACAAUUUGUCGAAAAUAAUCGUCGGUCCUUGGAACAGAAAAUAAAAGAAAAGGAAAAGGAAGUAUUUUGUCAGCUACAUGACUUACUGGGAGGGGAUCUCCCGUGCGACCAGAUAAACAGGGACUUGCAGCAAGCCAACGACGCUCUACGAGCAGAACUCGACAAAGAAACGGAGGAAAAAAACCUUCUUUGCUUACAGUCUGAGCAACAAUUGCAAAAAAUCCAGCAGCUGGAAGCAGAACUAAAAACAGCCAGAGACUUCCUGAAGGAGAGCCAGAAUUACGCUGAAGAGAUGAAAAAGAAGAAUUUAUCUCAGGAAAUAGAAUUGAAAGAGAAACAAGCUGAGAUUACCCAUCUGCAGCUGUCUGCAGCUGAGUUGGCUUCUUUAAAAAAGGAAAUGAUUAACAUCAAGGCUGAGCAAAAGAAACUGAAAGAGCAACUUAAUAUCACACUUCACGAAAAUGAGCAACUGAGCAAGCUAGACAGUCUGAAGUCUUUAGAUCAACGGAAGAAGCAAAAUGGAGUCUCUCACACUAAACUGAAGACAUGGAUGCAAUCCUGUGCUGAUGAGAUGACACAGUCACUGACCCAGGACAAGGAGCAAGAGUAUGAGCCAGACGGACUCCCGGAGGUGGUCAGAAAAGGCUUUGCUGAUAUUCCUUCUGGGAAAACCAACCCCUGUGUUUUGCGCAGAACAGCGCUAAACCUAAAGACCAGUCCCCGUCUUGCUGCUCAAAGCCAAAAUUUGUCACCAUAUGGCCAACAUUUACAAAAAGGCAAUUUUGUCAAGAUCUCUAAACCGACAGGUGGUGGCAGCAAAUCACCAAAGGUAGAUGAUACUCAGCAGUGCCAAACGGAAACAGCUAUUGAACCUAUGGAAUCAAGAUCUCCUCUUUGCAUGAAGAAGCAACACACAGAAGCUGUUGCUAAGAACUCAAGGGAGAAUCUCCACACACACCAAGGCAGAUGUUCCUUGAGCACACAAAAACUACCUGAUGAAAAUGAACACGACAAAAACUGUAUGGUACAGUAAACCUGAGUAGUAUAAGUAGUAUACCAUGAAACAAACCCUGACCGCACCCCUUGACCCCUUAAACUCUGCCCCUUGACCCCUUAAACCCCACCCACCUGUCACCAGAAGUCCUGCUCCGUGGGGUAUUACUCCCAGGGUCAAGAUGCCACAUGACCAGAAGCAAGGUGUGUCACGUGACCAUCCUCUACCACUCAGGAAGGCUUUCAGCUGCUGGGGACCACCCCAAGAGGAGAUUUGACCAAUCAAGGCAAGUUCUGGGGUGGAGUGACCCAUCUGGAUGUGGGUCAUGUGACCCCUCUAAGAACUCCGCCUACUUCCCUCUACCAAUCAGGAUGGGGUUCACCCUGAUAGGACCUCCCUCAGAGGAGAUUUGACCAAUCAGAGUGAGUUCUGGGGUGGGGUGACCUGUUCGGAAGUGGGUCAUGUGACCCCUCUAAGAACUCCUCCCAAUGCCCUCUGCCAAUCAGAGAGCAGCACCAUUACCCCAUAAGUCCCAGCUCCGGGCAGAGGAGGCCAUCUCUUACCAAGGACACGUGUUUUAGAAAUUGUGGAAAGGCUACUGAGAGGAAACGUGGACUCCUUUACCACCCCCAUGAGAACUUCGGGCUUUGUUUUACCCCCGAGCACCUUUAGACCGUUGAUGGAUACCUUGGAAUCCGACCCCGAAACCCUUAUUAGGCACCCCGAUGAGUGUGACGGCUUCUCAUUAUUCACCUUCCUAGAAGUGGAAAGUGCUCAUGGCUUGGGGGAGUCACAGGCAGACAAGCUUGACGAUGCUGUGACAGUACCUCCCAUAAGGCUUUUGACAGUACCUCCCAUAAAGCUUUAUGGAAAUAAUGCUUGGCAUAUGUAGCAUAAACACAUUCUAUGUAACACAUCUCCAUAAAGGUUAUGAUCUGCUGAAUGUAUUAAUCCUAUUUGUAUGCAUGUAUCAUUUUUGUAUUCAAAGUUAUGAAUGUUGGCUGUGUACUGGCUUGAUUUCUAAAUAACCUUAG